UUCCUGGCUCAGGAUGAACGCUGGCGGCGUGCUUAAUACAUGCAAGUCGAACGAAGCACUUUACCUGAUUUCCUUCGGGGAUGAUUGUUCUGUGACUGAGUGGCGGACGGGUGAGUAACGCGUGGAUAACCUGCCUCACACAGGGGGAUAACAGUUGGAAACGGCUGCUAAUACCGCAUAAGCGCACGGUACCGCAUGGUACAGUGUGAAAAACUCCGGUGGUGUGAGAUGGAUCCGCGUCUGAUUAGCUUGUUGGCGGGGUAACGGCCCACCAAGGCGACGAUCAGUAGCCGGCCUGAGAGGGCGACCGGCCACAUUGGGACUGAGACACGGCCCAGACUCCUACGGGAGGCAGCAGUGGGGAAUAUUGCACAAUGGGGGAAACCCUGAUGCAGCGACGCCGCGUGAGCGAUGAAGUAUUUCGGUAUGUAAAGCUCUAUCAGCAGGGAAGAUAAUGACGGUACCUGACUAAGAAGCUCCGGCUAAAUACGUG
This 493-nucleotide ribosomal RNA is filed under the name uncultured Roseburia sp. RNAcentral's name for it is "bacterial SSU rRNA". It matches the Rfam family "Bacterial small subunit ribosomal RNA", at positions 16 to 507 of the family's 1533-position model. Lineage: Bacteria; Bacillati; Bacillota; Clostridia; Lachnospirales; Lachnospiraceae. The record is from RNAcentral.